RNAcentral lists this ribosomal RNA (75 nucleotides) under Leucobryum chlorophyllosum. RNAcentral describes it as "partial 26S rRNA". It matches the Rfam family "Eukaryotic large subunit ribosomal RNA", at positions 1 to 75 of the family's 3401-position model. Lineage: Eukaryota; Viridiplantae; Streptophyta; Bryopsida; Dicranales; Leucobryaceae. The record is from RNAcentral.
AGACCUCUGAUCAGAAAAGACUACCCGCUGAGUUUAAGCAUAUCACUAAGCGGAGGAGAAGAAACUAACCAGGAU